UUAUUUAUGUUUAUUAAUUUAUUUAUUUUUAAAUAAUAAUAAUAAAAAAAUCUUAAUUUAAGCUUUCUUUUGAGUAUGGUAAAGCAGAAAUGAUCUGCCAGUGAUAAGCCAUAAUGCAGAGUAGGUUCUCUGGGUCAUUCAGUGUGUAAAAAAUAAGGCAGUGCUCAAUUUCCUUUGCAGAUGAAUGCAGAGAUAAUAGAAAGGAUAAUUACAAGAAACAGCGACUCAAAGAGGGAGAAUAUAUUCUCUUAAAUACACCAAAAUAACAAAAGGACAAUAAAAACCCCCAAACAAUGAAACAACAAAUGUCAAAUAAAAAAUAAAUAGGAUCCUAGAGUAUAUAUUCUUGUAUUUCAAAUUAUUUAUUCCUUCUCUGCAGGAAGCAGGGAAAGAUAAUAAAAUACACAAAAUGCAUUGGCUUACAAGAGUUUGCGCUGUGGAUGUAGAAGAUCAGAAUUAUGUGAUUCUUGGCAGACUUGAUUUCAACUAGAAGACAGGACUGUAAGUAGGUUUUGGGAUCAGC
This 523-nucleotide long non-coding RNA is filed under the name Cyanistes caeruleus (blue tit). RNAcentral describes it as "lncRNA (ENSCCEG00000016711.1)". The record is from RNAcentral. Lineage: Eukaryota; Metazoa; Chordata; Aves; Passeriformes; Paridae.